UUUUGGACAAUGGGCGCAAGCCUGAUCCAGCAAUGCCGCGUGCAGGAUGAAGGCCUUCGGGUUGUAAACUGCUUUUGUACGGAACGAAACGGCGAACUCUAAUACAGUUUGCUAAUGACGGUACCGUAAGAAUAAGCACCGGCUGACUACGUGCCAGCAGCCGCGGUAAUACGUAGGGUGCAAGCGUUAAUCGGAAUUACUGGGCGUAAAGCGUGCGCAGGCGGUUAUGUAAGACAGAUGUGAAAUCCCCGGGCUUAACCUGGGAACUGCAUUUGUGACUGCAUAGCUAGAGUACGGUAGAGGGGGAUGGAAUUCCGCGUGUAGCAGUGAAAUGCGUAGAUAUGCGGAGGAACACCGAUGGCGAAGGCAAUCCCCUGAGCCUGUACUGACGCUCAUGCACGAGG
RNAcentral lists this ribosomal RNA (404 nucleotides) under uncultured bacterium. Its description in RNAcentral is "bacterial SSU rRNA". It matches the Rfam family "Bacterial small subunit ribosomal RNA", at positions 362 to 758 of the family's 1533-position model. The record is from RNAcentral.